RNAcentral lists this ribosomal RNA (189 nucleotides) under Kopsia arborea. RNAcentral's name for it is "5.8S rRNA". The stretch from base 4 to 159 matches the Rfam family "5.8S ribosomal RNA". Rfam says of the family: 5.8S ribosomal RNA (5.8S rRNA) is a component of the large subunit of the eukaryotic ribosome. It is transcribed by RNA polymerase I as part of the 45S precursor that also contains 18S and 28S rRNA. Lineage: Eukaryota; Viridiplantae; Streptophyta; Magnoliopsida; Gentianales; Apocynaceae. The record is from RNAcentral.
AACGACUCUCGGCAACGGAUAUCUAGGCUCUCGCAUCGAUGAAGAACGUAGCAAACUGCGAUACUUGGUGUGAAUUGCAGAAUCCCGUGAACCAUCGAGUCUUUGAACGCAAGUUGCGCCCGAAGCCGUUAGGCGGAGGGCACGUCUGCCUGGGCGUCACGCGCAGCGUCGCCCCCUCCAAGGCCUUGC